This 484-nucleotide ribosomal RNA is filed under the name uncultured bacterium. RNAcentral describes it as "partial 16S ribosomal RNA". It matches the Rfam family "Bacterial small subunit ribosomal RNA", at positions 28 to 523 of the family's 1533-position model. The record is from RNAcentral.
GACGAACGCUGGCGGCGUGCUUAACACAUGCAAGUCGAACGAUGAACCCGGAGCUUGCUCCGGUGGAUUAGUGGCGAACGGGUGAGUAACACGUGAGUAACCUGCCCUUGACUCUGGGAUAACUGCGGGAAACUGUAGCUAAUACCGGAUACGACCCUCGGCGGCAUCGCCAGGGGGUGGAAAGAAUUUCGGUCAAGGAUGGACUCGCGGCCUAUCAGCUAGUUGGUGAGGUAACGGCUCACCAAGGCGACGACGGGUAGACGGACUGUGAGGGUGAGCGGCCACACUGGGACUGAGACACGGCCCAGACUACAACGGGAGGCAGCAGUGAGGAGUAUUGCACUGUGUGCGCAAGCCUGGUGCGGCGUCGCCGCGUGAGGGAUGACGGCCUUCGUGUUGUAAACUUCUUUCAGCACCGACGAAGUGCAAGUGACGGUAGGUGCAGAAGAAGGACCGGCCAACUACGUGCCAGCCGCCGCAGUAA